Molecule: ribosomal RNA, 315 nt
Filed under: Globigerinoides elongatus
Lineage: Eukaryota; Foraminifera; Rotaliida; Globigerinidae
Description: SSU rRNA
Source: RNAcentral
CUGCUUAAUUGCGUNUCAAAAUCUAAACCUGAGCGACAANGUGCUGCUAUCGAAACGGUCUUUGAGUGUGAACUAUAAGUCUUUUGACUUAUGACCAUCACUCUAGACGUUUAUGUUUUGGUGUUGGCCCUUGAUGCUCAUUUGAACGCAACGGACGUGAUUGCAACCCCUUGUUGAGAUUUAUCCGAUCUCUACGUUCACUGAACCACACUCUUUAGCGAGAGCAGUGGGGAUGUGGAUAAACUCGGGGGACUGCUGACUAUAAACUUUUCUCAAACCAGAGGAAGGUUGCGGCAAUAACAGGUCUGUGAUGCA